Molecule: unclassified non-coding RNA, 405 nt
Filed under: soil metagenome
Description: partial contains 5.8S ribosomal RNA, internal transcribed spacer 2, and large subunit ribosomal RNA
Rfam family: 5.8S ribosomal RNA (bases 1-120)
Source: RNAcentral
GAUGAAGAACGUAGCGAAAUGCGAUAAGUAAUGUGAAUUGCAGAAUUCAGUGAAUCAUCGAAUCUUUGAACGCACCUUGCGCUCCUUGGCAUUCCGAGGAGCAUGCCUGUUUGAGUGUCAUUAAAUUCUCAAGACCUGUCUGCUUUUUUGAUAGGUAUUGGAUUUUGGGGGUUGCAGGCUGUUUCAAAUAAAUAGCCUUGCUCUCCUUGAAUGUAUUAGUGGAGAAAAGCCAUUGAACUCCAUUGGUGUGAUAAAACCUAUCAAUGCCAGGAGCAAUAUCACUACUUCUCUCUGCUGUCUAACUGUGACUGUCUGUAUUAAUUAGUAUGGAUGGGGACAACUUGACCAACUUGACCUCAAAUCAGGUAGGACUACCCGCUGAACUUAAGCAUAUCAAUAAGCGGA